RNAcentral lists this ribosomal RNA (414 nucleotides) under Panisus michaeli. RNAcentral describes it as "partial large subunit ribosomal RNA". The stretch from base 258 to 414 matches the Rfam family "Bacterial large subunit ribosomal RNA", at positions 2473 to 2630 of the family's 2925-position model. The record is from RNAcentral. Lineage: Eukaryota; Metazoa; Arthropoda; Arachnida; Trombidiformes; Hydryphantidae.
AAGGUAGCGUAAUCAUUUGCUUUUUAAUUGAAAGCUUGUAUGAAGGAGUAAAUAAAAUUUCUUUAUUAUUAUUUUUAUAUUUAAAAUUAUUUUUCCUUUGAAAACUUUUGGAAGUUUUUUAAAAGACUAGAAGACCCUUGGAUUUUUACUUUUAAUAUUAAUUUAUUUUGAAGGUUUAAUUGGGGCAAUUUUUUAUUUUAAUUUAUAUGAAUUUAUUUUAUGAUCUUUUAUUUUACUUUCUGUAUAAAUACCCAAGGGAUAACAGCGUAAUUUAAUUGGUUAGUUCUUAUUAAUAAUUAAUUUUGCGACCUCGAUGUUGGUUUGUUUAUCCUUUUUGGAGUAGAAAAUAAAGAAGGGAGUCUGUUCGACUUUUAAAUGAACACAUGAACUGAGUUCAAGUCGGUGUGAGCCAGA